Non-coding RNA from Paramuricea clavata, 735 nucleotides. NCBI's taxonomy places the organism in Eukaryota, Metazoa, Cnidaria, Anthozoa, Malacalcyonacea, Plexauridae. The record is from the annotation of a GenBank genome assembly.
CAAAAAUAAUCGACCAAUAACAACGCUCAUAUCAGAACAGGAAGUUAGGAAAUUAAAACAGGAAGUUAGGAAAAUUUAAAAUGAAGUUUGGAAUAUUGCAACAGCCGAUAGGAACAUUGCAAAUUCCCUCAAGGGAUUUGCAAAAGUUUUUCAAAUUUGCAAAGCUAAUGAGGAAAAUUCUAAAUGAGUUACGAACUCAAAAGAGGAACGCUUCACGUAGUUUACCUGUAAAUUGUCACGAAAAAAUGUCUGGGAACUGAUUUGCAUUCGCUGUGUUUCGCACUCAUUCCGCCUUUUACAUUCACCGGAAGUCACUAGACGACACCAAGGUUUAUCGUGAACCGCAAUGACGGAGAUAGUGAUGGAGAAGUACUUCAAUUAGACCUAGAUAAAAUGAAUAAUUGGACUAAAGUUUGGCAAUGACGCUUCAAUCCUGAAAAGUAUGACGUGAUGUAACUGUGGGAUAACGCAUCGACAAGAUUUUUCAGUUACUGAAUAUUAUUUAUCGGGAGUUUUCAUAUGAAAAUCUUCACACUGUGUCCCAUUUUAAAAUUUCACAACGUUUUUCUGCUUCAAAGCUGCUCUGUAGACUCUUUUUUGUACCCUUUGUAAGGCUUGUACGUCCGAGGGGCCUUUCACUCCAAAAAUCCUGCAUUACUAUCCCUAAAAAUCCGGAAAACUAGAUCCGGUUCUAUUUGAAAAACGUCAAAAUCCAAUUUUAAAAACCAUUCGAAG